Molecule: ribosomal RNA, 468 nt
Filed under: uncultured bacterium
Lineage: Bacteria
Description: partial 16S ribosomal RNA
Rfam family: Bacterial small subunit ribosomal RNA
Source: RNAcentral
GACGAACGCUGGCGGCGUGCUUAACACAUGCAAGUCGAACGGAAAGGCCCUGCUUUUGUGGGUUUCUCGAGUGGCGAACGCGUGAGUAACACGUGUGUAUCCUGCCCUUGACUUUGGGAUAACUUCAGGGAACUGGGGCUCAUACCGGAUAGGAUCUCCUGCUGCAUAGUGUGCGUUGGUAAGUUUCGGCGGUUGGGGAUGGACUAGCUGCUUAUCCGCUUGUUUGUGGGGUAGUGGAUGACCAGGGCUUUGACGGGUAGCCGGCAUGAGAGGGUUAACGGGCACAAGGGGACUGAGAGAGGGAGCAGACGCGUACGGGCGGCAGCAGGGGGGAGUAUGGCACAGUAGGGGGAAGUCUGAUGCAGCGACGCCGCGUGCGGGAUGACGGCCUUCGGGUUGUAAACAGCUUUCGCCUGUGACGAAGAGUGAGUGACGGUAAUGGGUAAAGAAGCAACGGCUAACUACGUG